This 801-nucleotide long non-coding RNA is filed under the name Malus domestica (apple). RNAcentral describes it as "long non-coding RNA (MDOM_LNC019114)". Lineage: Eukaryota; Viridiplantae; Streptophyta; Magnoliopsida; Rosales; Rosaceae. The record is from RNAcentral.
UGAAAGAGUCGAUGAGGAACAACUUCAAUGAAGAAAGCAUGCCGAUCUAAACAAUAGAAAAUGGAGUUUCGAAGCUCACAACAAAUCUGACGGGUUGACAGAAAAAUAAUAACCAGUCAUUCAUCAUACCUGAAUUUCUUGAGUUAUACAGCUCCGAGGGAUCUCAAUUUUGAAUAUGUUGUAGUUCACGAGCUGAGGAACAACUUCAAUGAAGGAAGCAUACCGAUCUGAACCAGAGAAAAUGGAGUUUCGAAGCUCACAACAAAUCUGACGGGUUGACAGAAAAAUAAUAACCAGUCAUUCAUCAUACCUGGAUUUCUGGUGUUAUACUGCUCCGAGGGAUCUCAAAUUUGGAUAUGUUGUAGUUCACAAGCUGAGGAACAACUUUCAUGAAGAUGGUUUUGCGAUUUGAGCCACAGAAAAUGGUGUUAUAUUGAUUGUUAAUGGCCAUGGCAACCUUUUCAGCAAAAAUGGUAAAGCAAAGCAAAAGAAAAGCUAAAGGAAGACAAAAUCAUGGCACAUGAUAAUGAGUCAUACCCUACCCCUCAUUGGAUUCGCAUACACCCAUCCUCCAAAAUCAUGACAAAGGCCACAUUAUAGAUAACAAAAAAAAAAAAAAAAAAAAAAAGGGCCUAGGCCUCCACUUCUUUGGGCCUAACACAUCUUCAUAACAAAAAACAAUAUAUGAAGAAAGAGCCCUGGGUUACCACUUCGAAAAGAAACAAGUGAAGUUUUCCUACUCAUGACAUUGACUACUAGCUAGACACCUCAUUCGUCAACUCCCUCGACUGGAGACUUGGG